This is a long non-coding RNA of Arabidopsis lyrata subsp. lyrata, 6059 nucleotides long. RefSeq lists it as uncharacterized. The record is from RefSeq and is a predicted model, not a curated record. The transcript has 18 exons. Lineage: Eukaryota; Viridiplantae; Streptophyta; Magnoliopsida; Brassicales; Brassicaceae.
UUCUGUAGAGUUUUCCUCCCUUUGGAUAUUCAAUACUUGGUUUAAUAGCUGUUGAAACUUAUUACUACUGUAUAUUUAUUAGGUUGCAACAUGAGCUGAAAUUCAUUUGACCAGGAAGAAGUACUUACAUGGGUGGUCACUUGGUUAACGCAUUCAAAUAAGUUUUCGGUAACUGAUUGAUCAAUACUUGCCGUGUCUUGGAGUUGACCGAAUCAAUAUCCUUUUGAAUAUUUCCUUUCUUGAGUGUACCUGAUUGAUGAAUACUUCUUUUUAUUGGCUUUUAUUUUCUCAUUAAAAAAACACUAAAUAAGUUAGUUUUUGUUCAGGCUCUAUUAUGGUACCAUUUUAUAACCUUUCUGAUAUAAAAGGGUUGUGAGGACUCCAAACCAUUUCUAAUCAGGUUGGUCAAUGUGUGGACAUGUAACGAGAACACUGCUAAACGCUUACAUGUUCAGAGGAUUCAGAUGUGCCAAUACCUACUUACCAAGAACCCUGAAAUACAAAACCAGAGGUCCAUAGGAAAUUUACAAGCAAAGUUGAGGGGAAGGUGAGUUAUGACGAUUUUGCAUACUUUAUUCUCGCUGAGGAGGAAAAUCAUCUGAGCAUAGUCUUGAGUAUUGGUACACGUCUCUUCCUUUCUCUCUUCAGCCAUUUUGUCUUGUUGGUAUGCUCAUCUAUGUCCCAUGGAUGUUAAACACAUCAUCUUGGUAGUUUUGUGUUUUUUUUUCCCUUGAUAUUGAUUAAAACAACGUUUGCAGAUUCAAGUGCAUAUAUAGAACUGGGCACUCCCAAUUAAAUGCAGUUUUUUUACGAAGAGCGGCUGCAUCGCAUCUUUGAAGAUAUCCUAUGUCUUUUCAUAUUCCUGGCUAUUCUGUUUUUUCUUUUUUCUUAUUCGAAACAUCAAUUUGUUGAAUGACUCUUUCAGAAGGAGAACUGCAUCUCACUCCAGGAUAUGAAAGACUUUCUGGAAAUGUUUUCAAAAUACUCUUCAACCUAAACAAAUUCAUGGCCUCUGAAACUUAUUCAUUCGCCAGGUUGCAACAUGAGCUGAAAUUCAUUUGAUAACCGGAAGAAGUACUUUGACAUGGGUCACUUGGUUAAGGCAUUUCGAUAAGUUCCUUUUGAACCCUUUUUACUGAAUUAGUUUGUGUUCCUUCACCUUUAUCGCGUCUCUGAAAUUGUUCAUUAUUCAAUCUUUUUAACAGGUUUUCUUUAUACCUGACUGAUGAAUACUUCUUUAUAAUGUGUCUUGGAGUUGGCCGAAUCAAUUCUUUUGAAUUGUUUCCUUCGCUGAGUUUACCUGAUUGAUCAAUACUUGUUUAUUGGCUUUAUUUUCUCAUUUUUAAAAAAAUACGUUAGUUGUUGUUCAAGCUCUAUUAUGGUACCAUUUUAUAACCUUUAUGACAUAAAAGGGUUGUGAGGGCUUAAAACCAUUUUUAGUCGGGUAUUUAAGGGUUUGACUACUUCUUUCUUAAGGAUUUUGUUAGCAGGCUCUGUAUUUUAUUGUUAUGGCUUUAUGUAUAUAUUUGAACAUGUUGAAUUUAACCACCUAAUUUUUUCCCCCAUUUUAGGAGAAUCAAAAAGCAGCACUUCGUCUAGCAGCACAGUGACAAAUUCGUUGAAGGGAAGACCAGUGCAGGUACCCUGUUCUGUUCUUGUAAGUAAUAGCCACUAGCUCUGGAAGAUUGUUUAAUAACUUGAUCUUCUUGGGGGGCCGUAUAUUUGAGGGUAAAGAACCUCCACAACUUGUUGCACUUUUAAACAUAAAAAGGUAUUUCUUUUGAUUGUUGCUGCAAGACAAUAUUUCUUUUGAUAUAGAUACAUUAACUUUGACCAAUAUGACCUAUUGACAGAGGAAAUGCAUUUAUAGAAAGUGACGAUGGAAAAACUGAUGUUGGUGCCUCUCUUUUGUAAUAUAUUACAUACCUAAAAGGUUUGUUUACAAUUUACCCUUCUGCUGCAGCGUCAGUGUAGCAGUGGGAACCAAGGACCAAGGCAAAGAGCUAAGACUUUGAUUCCAAUUUCCAAAGAGGUUUUGAUGUAGGAGAAAUUUAGGGAAUUUACCUUUUCUUUUAAUAUUUACUUAUUUCACGUUUUCUAUUUUGUUUAGGGUUUUCUAUUUUAUGUUUUGGUUUUAUUCUAUAUAUAUAUAGAGAUCCUAGGUUAUUUACAGUACACGUUUUAUCAUUCUAAUUAAUAAAAGCAGAGAGCUUUUCUUUAAUCUGGUGGAUUUCCAGAGUUUCAACCUUUCAAGUUCGACGCUUGCGAACUUGAUUUCUAUCUAGGCAUAGUGUUUGCUAUUCCUAGAGAUUCCGACUGCGUCAAGUGGUAUCAGAGCAGGUUUUCUCCUGUCUCUUUUUGAAGCUUGAUAGGCCAUGGGAGAUCACCCGGUUACCAAAGCAGAUUUCGAGGGUUUUGCGUCGACUAUUACCACGACUCUUACCACGGCUCUUACUGCUUUGACCAAUCAGAUGACGUUGUUGACAACCAAGAUCAGAAACGGCAACAACAACACAAAUCAACAAAGAGGCAGAAGAGAAAAAUCAACUAAAGAUCUACAGAGUGGAAUUGAUUUUGAACAUCAGAUGCAUGUAUUAAUCAAUAAGAUUAAAUAUCAACAGAAAACUAGAGAGGAAGCGAUUCGGGUUCCACGAGGAGAAAACAAUCGUGUUGUGAUUGAUGAAAAUACAAGUUCUAAUGAAGAAUCCAUGAAGGAAGAGAUUGGUCAAGAGAAUCUACAUAAUAAUUAUGAUUCUCACAUGGAUGCUAAAGAAGAACUCGUGAAGAUCUUGGCAGCUUUCUGUUUUUUUCCCUUGAUAUUGGUUAAAACCAUGUUUGCAGGUACAUAGACCUGGAUGGAGAUGGGGUGAUCACUCCCAAUGAAGAGAACCAUUGAAGAUAUCCUCUGUCAAAUAUUCGACAUGAUUAAACCAGAGGCAAGAGUUCUUUCAAAUCAUAACAUGGUCUUUUCAUUUUACUGGCUAUUCUGUUUUUUUCUUUCUUAUUCGAAACAUCAAUUUGUUAAAUGACUCUUUUAUAAGGAGAACUGCAUCUCACUCCAGGAUCUGAACUUUCUAAAAUGUUUUCAAUAUACUCUUCAACCUGAAAAAAUUCAUGGCGUUUGAAACUCGUGACCCUUUUCUCAUUUGCCAACUGUUGCAGCGUGAGCUGAAAUUCAUUUGGUUAAAGCGUAAGCUAAAAUUCAUUUUACAACAAGGAGUACUUUGACAUGAGUCACUUGAUUAAUGCAUCCAAAUAAGUUCCCUGAACCCUUUUUACUCAGUUAGUUUGUGUUCUUUUCACCUUUAUCACGUCUCUGAUUUUCAUUAUUGUUUCUUUUAACAGGUUUUCUAUUAUGAUCCAGGAACUCUCAAAACCGUUUUGUCUUAUAUUACAGGAUCAGUCUGGCAGUGGGAACCUUGCCUUCCGCAUUUAAUUCUUCUUCUGCUCUCCGAAUGAGAGAGAAGCAAAGUAAAGUUCAAAGAGUGCACAAAGAAAUAAGCAAGCUGGUGUUGGUACAUUAACAUUGCUCAAAACUGGGGUUCCAGCAAUAGCCAACAGAUGAUCCUUUUGAAUAAUGUUUGUGGUUACAGUUCUUGCUAGAGAUCACAUUGGGGUUCCUGGCUUAGGCUCGUGAGUUGGCUUUUUCUGCAAGUUUGUGUGGGUUUAACUCAGAAUCAAUUCAUGAUGGAGAGCCGAGACAGUUCAAGGGGAGGUCAAGGCGCUGAAGCUUUAUGUCAUCAAAAUCACCCGCACGAACACCAGAAUUAACAAGUUAGGCAUCACAAAGAGGGUAACACGGCUAGCCAAAGAAGGAACAUGAAAAAUGACUUUGGCAAUCGGUGAUGGUGAAAAUGAUGUUGGAAUGAUUCAAGAAGCUGCUAUUGGUGUUGGCAUAAGUGUCGUUGUGAUAUAGGAAAAAGAUGGUGAUAAAUCAAUGACACGUGGACGGUGGUAAUUGAAGAUUAAAAGAAACGGUCAAGAUCUUUUGAAGAUUAAGAACAGAAGAAUGAACCUAAUAAGAAGUUGAAGACCCUUUAUUCUCUCAUUAUGCAAAAAUCUGAGAUUGUAUCUUCUUCUCCAUUUGGUUCUUUGUUUGUUCUUGAGAAUUCUCUGAAAUUCUCAAGCUAUUCUUCAUUGUUGCUGGAGCUUUCUCGUUUUGAGACUCUUGCUUAUGAGAAGCGAAUUGAUGUUUUAUGAACAUAGGUUUGAUUAUCUUUAAAAAUGGUUUGUGUUUGAAUUAGAUACAGUUUUCCUGUAUCACGUUGAAGGAUAUCUAACAAUUACAAAAUCAGAGAAUUGGAGUUUUGGCUUGUGUCUUGUUGUGGGUUUCAGAUCACUCACUUCACUUGGUCUCUUGGAUCAGGAUCGAAGAAAUACCGGUAUUGGAAGAUGAGUAAAGGAAAGCAUUUCAUAUUGAUACAAAAUCCUCUUAAAAUACUGGUCAGACUUUCUAAUCAAACACUGGUUCUCAACUUUAGCCAAUGUUUCAUCUAAUGCUCUUCUCUGUUUCUCCAAUUAGGCUUGGGGGGAAUUAGUGUCGAUAUACAGUGAUCUCUGUCACAUGGGAACACCACCAGCUGUCAUCAAUGCGGAUGAGCUUCAGCGAGAUCCCGAGGUUUUGUUUCUGUAAUAGGUUUUAUUUUUUCAUCGCUCUAAAAAUGGUUCAGUUAAGGACUUAAACAUUUUGGAGAUGGAUGCGGUAGACAAGCUAAAUACUGACCAGUGUUCUCCAUGAUCAGUUGAUGGCUAAAGAGAUUUGUUUUGCGGUUCGUUUAUUGUUUCAGCAAAGCCGAGAUAGAAACAAAAAAAGGUGGUGUUGCUACAUCAAAACGGGCGUGUCAGCAACAGUUGAUAUUUUUUCCAAGGAGACUGGAGUUUCUGGUUUCUUCUGUGGUAUGUUCACAUUCACAUGGAAGUUGUUAAUUUUACAGUUGUUUGAUGCUACACUAACAUGAGAUGAUCGUCUAAGUUUGAAAUUACAGUAUCUAUUUACAAAUAUGUUGAAAUUAUAGUCAACAUAACUAUGUGGUGAUCUCUGGUUCGGAAAUUAUAUGGGUUCUUACUUGGUCUCUGGCUUGCUAAAUCGUCCUUCUAUUUCGGAUUUCUUUAAGCUACAAGAUUUGCAAAUUAAAUAGAACCAAAAACUGCUUGUUGUGGUGGCUCUUUUUGUAUGUGUAUGUGUGAAUGCUGAGGAUUUGACUCGCAGGAUGGCUUUGAUCUAUGUUUGUUCUUGAUAUGUCUAUAUUUUACUUGUUUUAAGCAUUAAUUUGUCAUCACUUUAGCAUCAUUUCAUCACUGUUUCAUAUCAUUCUUCAUCGUUCUUGCACGCUUUGCAUGUUUAGGAUAGUUUUGCAUACAUGUUGCAUUUUUGAGUUGUUUUCAGGUGAUUUGGAGCUGUUGGUGAGCAUAUUGGAAGAAGCAAAGCGGAAUCAAGCAGACACUCGACCAAGUCAGUCGAGUAACUCAACCGCCAUCACUAUUCCAGCACUUAAUCACAUACUUGACCAACUACUCUACCUUAUUGGUCGAGUAUCCACAGCCACCAUCGCUCUCCCAGAACUCGAUCAUAUACUCGACCAACUACUCUACCUUGUUGGUCUAGUAUCCACAUCCACCAUCACUCUCUGAAUACUUGACCAACUACUCGACCCUGUUGGUCGAGUAUCCUCUAUCACCUCACUUCAGAAUCACUCGAUCGUGCUCACUUCAAGAACACUCGACCGCAUACUCAACCAUGUUGGUCGAGUACCCUCCAUCGCCUCACUCUUCCACCACUCGACCACGAACUCAACCUAGCAGCUUCAGAGUCUUCUCAAAUCCGUACUCAACCAGACAUUUGAGCAUAAGGAAGAGAAGAGGAUGAAGCAGACACUCGACCCUUCACUCGACCAUGUCGCGACCAGAGCAAGAAACCUCGUCUACUCGAUCGCAUGAGUCGAAUGUAUCCUUAAACCGCCUUAAUACUUUGUCGUUUUGUGUUUUAGGGUUUCUUAAUAUUUGCUAUAAAUAGGUUGUUUCUCUUAAUUCUGAGACUUAAGCUUUAUUCUGCAGAACAA